CGAGGAAUUUUGCACAAUCGACGCAAGUCGGAUGCAGCAACGCCGCGUGCGGGAAGAAGGCCCUCGGGUUGUAAACCGCUUUUGUGGGGGAAGAAGAUCUGACGGUACCCCACGAAUAAGUCACGGCUAACUACGUGCCAGCAGCCGCGGUAAUACGUAGGUGGCAAACGUUGUCCGGAUUCACUGGGCGUAAAGCGCGCGCAGGCGGAUUGGUCAGUCCGAGGUUAAAGCUCCCGGCUCAACUGGGAGAGGCCCUUGGAUACUGCCAGUCUUGAGGUGCCUAGAGGAGAGUGGAAUUCCCGGUGUAGUGGUGGAAUGCGUAGAUAUCGGGAGGAACACCAGUGGCGAAGGCGGCUCUCUGGGGGCGACCUGACGCUGAGGCGCGAAAGCAUGGGGAGCAAACCGG
This 406-nucleotide ribosomal RNA is filed under the name uncultured bacterium. Its description in RNAcentral is "bacterial SSU rRNA". It matches the Rfam family "Bacterial small subunit ribosomal RNA", at positions 355 to 776 of the family's 1533-position model. The record is from RNAcentral.